CGCCCGACGAGGGUAUGCGCAGCGGGGCACGCCGGGAUCUGUGGUCCGGCGCGCGGCUGAUCGCCUGGGGUCACGGAGGUGCAGGCGGCGCGCCGCAGAGCGGGCGGGGAGCAGCACCGCGCGCCCCCAGAGCCCCCAGAACCGGCCGGUAGAGGCACCGGAGCGAGAGACCGAAUGCCGGCCUGCGAGCGCGUCCAGUACGUCACCGACUGACAGACCCGGAGUGCCCGCGCGCGGCUGACGGAAAAAUUGGUUGAGAUUUUGUACUGGGUUCUGCGCACUGUGAGUGAGCAGCCAAACCUGGGUGACCAGUGGUCAUCUAGUUAUAGAUAUGUUCCCCAGUGUAAGCUUAAGUGUGGCAGGGGACUAUGAAGUCAUCAGAGUGGACAUUUAAUACAUGUAUGCUGUGUGCCAGGCCUGUGCUGGACAUUUGUCAUGGAUCAUCCUGUAACCUUAUAGCCACCCUCUGAGAUAGGUACUGAUGUCAGGCUGGGUACAAACAAGAACUAGGAAAUGAAAGAACCAUCUUCAGCUGGAUAAGCAACUGGAUGAGCUUUGGAGAACCUCAAGCUGAUAUAUGUUCAGCACAUCAAAGGUGGGCCAAGGAGCUGAGGGAAAAUAUUUGUGUGUGUGUGUGUGUGUGUGUGUGUGUGUGUGUGUGUGUGCUAAGACCUUCACCAGGGAUUUUAGGUGUUGCAGUACUGAGGGGGGAAAAAGAGACUUAGGGCAAUGUGGGAAUAGGACUUCAUCUGCUACCAGGUGACUAGGAUGGUUCUCUAAGAAGUGGCAGCUAAGGUGAGGCCUCCGGGCAAUGAGGAGGAGUUAGAUACAGAGAUGUAUUUCAGGAGAAGAAAACAGCAGGGGUAAAGGCCAAGGUGAGUGAGGAAACAACAAGAGCAAGGUGACAAGGGGCAGGGAUUUAGCUCAGUGGCGCUGCACCCAGGUACCAAAAGAAGGAUAGUUUCCCUGAGCAGAGACUGAUGCAAGUAGACUGAGUGUCUGGUCUGGUACAAAAGAGAAGGUGAAAGAUCAGAGCUGUAUAAAUGUACACCUGUUGGCCAGGCAUGGUGGCGCACUCCUGUAAUCCCAGCACUCGGGGCUGAAGCAGAAGGACCAUAAAUUUGAGGCCAGCCUCGCCACAGAGUAAGUUCAAGGCCAACCUGAACUACAUAGUAAGGUCCUGUCUUGAAAACAACAAACAGGGCCAGGGAUUUAGCUCAGUGGUUCCGGGCCUACCUGGCAAGCCCAAGGACCGGAGUUCAUCCCCGUACCAAAACAAACAAACAAAAACAACAAACAAUCAGGGUGUGGUGGUGCACACCUGUAAUCUCAGUAUUCGAAAGGCUGAGGCAGGAGGAUCACUCCAAGUUUGAGGUGAGGCUGGGCUACAUAAUGACUUCAAGGCUAGCCUGAACUACAUACACCCUGCCUCAAACAAACAAAAAAUAUAUACCUGGGCAGCUUAGCAACUUAGUGAAACACUACCUCAAACUAAAAGUAGAAGAAGGAGCUGGGGAUGCAGCUCAGUGUAAAGAAAGGCCUUAUGUUCAAUGGCCAAUACCACCAAAACAAAGAACUUUGUGAAGAUCUAAAGAACCUGGAACCCUCACCCAGAGCUAAUAGGAAGAAAAAACAGUACAGCAACUUUGAAGAACGUCCUGAGAGUAGUAUUGCCCCCUACCUCAUUGGUUAUCUGGAAGCAUGUGUGGUAUGUUUGUUAUAUGACUAGGGGAGGGGCUUACUGGUCUCCUUGGGUGGGAAUGAGUCCUAAAGUCCUGUAGUACAAAGGAAAUGUCCCCCUCUGAAUUCAGUAGCUCUCAACUACAGAUGAAAUUGGAGUCUGAGAAGUAAUUAAUAGUGAACUAGAGGGCAUGGCCAUUUUAAUGAUCUUAUAUUCCCAAAUUGUUUGCCAGAGAUAAUUACUUGCCCCCACUAGUAGUGAAUGGAGGUGACUGCUCACCAGCCCGAGUAGCAUUCAUUGCUCAUGGUUCUUCCAGAGUUUAGAAAGCUUGUGAGAGGCAGCCCUAUGUGAAGAAAAGAUGACAUGACAUCACAUGCUUGAGUUCAAGCCCCAGCUCUGCACCAAUUGACCAGAUGACCCAAGGAGCUCAUUUUCCCCAGCUUUUAAAAUGGGAACAGUUGGGCCGGGAUUUAGCCCAGUGGAACUGUGCCUGUCUCACAAGUGCAAGGUCCGGAGUUCCAUCCCUAGUACCAAAAUUAAAAAAUAAAAUGGGAACAGUAAUAUUGACAAGGUGGUAGCACAGGUUGAAUGUGUUAACAGAGGCAAAAAGCUAGUGUGGCCUAAAAAUAAAUACAAAGGGCUGGGGAUGGGGAUGUAGCUUAGUGGUAGAGGGCUUGCCUAGCAUAGAUUCAAUCCAGAAUACUUAAAAACAAAAAAAAUAGGGCCAGGGAUUUAGCUUAGUGGCAUCUCCCCUGCCUCAAAAGCGCAAGGUCCUGAGUUCAGUCCACAAUUCCAAAAAAAACUUACCAAUACUUGUCAUCUGUCUUUGUGUUUGUGUGGGUGGGUACCAGGGAUUGAACUCAGGACCUUACUCCUACAAGGCAGGUGAGGCACCACUGAGCUAAAUCCCUGGCCCUCUGUCUCUUUUGAUUAUAGCCAUACCAACAGGUAUAAAAGUUAUAUCCCAGCCCUUUUAAAAUUUUCUUUUGAGACAGGGUCUCACUAAGUUGCUGAGUUACCCCAGCAGGGCUCAAACUUAUGAUCCUCCUGCCUCAGCCUCCCAGAAUUCUACGGUUAUAGGUGUAUGCUCCCACCCCAGGGUUCAUUGCAGUUUUAAUUUGCACUUCCUGGCAGCUAAUGAUGUUAAGCAUCUUUUCAUGUGUUUAUUGGUAUUUUAUAUAUCUUCUUCAGAGAAAUGUCUACAGAAAUCUUUUGCCACCUUUUUUUCUUUUCUUUUGCUCACUUUUAAAUGGGAUUAUUUGUCUUUUUUUGUUACAGAAUUGUCCUGGCUACAGGUCCCUUAUCAGAUAAAUGAUUGGCCACUGUUUUCUCUCAUUCCAUGGGUUGCCUUUUCACUUUCUUAGUCAUAGCCUUUUUUUUUUUUUUUUUUUUUGGUACCGGGAUCAAACUCAGGACCUUUCUCAUGCAAGGAAGGCACCAGAACCAGUGAGCUAAAUCCCCGCCCUCUUAGUCAUAGCCUUUGAAUCACAAAAGUUUCUUAAUUUUAGUGAAUGCCAGUUCAUUCUAUCUUUUAUCAUUUUCUUUUGUUUGUUUUGUUUUGGUACCAGGAUCAAACUCAGGACCUUGCACUAUCUUUUAUCAUUUGUGCUUCUGGUGUCAUACCUAAGAAGGCUUUGUGGGGUUUUU
This 3328-nucleotide long non-coding RNA is filed under the name Heterocephalus glaber (naked mole-rat). RNAcentral's name for it is "lncRNA (ENSHGLG00000049846.1)". Lineage: Eukaryota; Metazoa; Chordata; Mammalia; Rodentia; Bathyergidae. The record is from RNAcentral.